AUGCACGCUAGCGGGAGGCCUAACACAUGCCAGCCGAGCGGUAGAGUCUCUUCGGAGACUUGAGAGCGGCGCACGGGUGCGGAACACGUGUGCAACCUGCCUUUAUCUGGGGGAUAGCCUUUCGAAGGGAAGAUUAAUACCCCAUAAUAUACUGGAUGGCAUCAUCUGGUAUUGAAAACUCCGGUGGAUAGAGAUGGGCACGCGCAAGAUUAGAUAGUUGGUGAGGUAACGGCUCACCAAGUCAGCGAUCUUUAGGGGGCCUGAGAGGGUGAUCCCCCACACUGGUACUGAGACACGGACCAGACUCCUACGGGAGGCAGCAGUGAGGAAUAUUGGACAAUGGGUGAGAGCCUGAUCCAGCCAUCCCGCGUGAAGGACGACGGCCCUAUGGGUUGUAAACUUCUUUUGUAUAGGGAUAAACCUAGAUACGUGUAUCUAGCUGAAGGUACUAUACGAAUAAGCACCGGCUAACUCCGUG
Molecule: ribosomal RNA, 478 nt
Filed under: uncultured bacterium
Lineage: Bacteria
Description: partial 16S ribosomal RNA
Rfam family: Bacterial small subunit ribosomal RNA
Source: RNAcentral